Molecule: ribosomal RNA, 429 nt
Filed under: Bacillota bacterium
Lineage: Bacteria; Bacillati; Bacillota
Description: Firmicutes bacterium partial 16S ribosomal RNA
Rfam family: Bacterial small subunit ribosomal RNA
Source: RNAcentral
UGGGGAAUAUUGGACAAUGGGCGCAAGCCUGAUCCAGCCAUGCCGCGUGUGUGAAGAAGGCCUUCGGGUUGUAAAGCACUUUUGUCCGGAAAGAAAAGCUCUCGGUUAAUACCCGGGGGUCCUGACGGUACCUGAAGAAUAAGCACCGGCUAACUUCGUGCCAGCAGCCGCGGUAAUACGAAGGGUGCAAGCGUUACUCGGAAUUACUGGGCGUAAAGCGUGCGUAGGUGGUUUGUUAAGUCUGAUGUGAAAGCCCUGGGCUCAACCUGGGAAUGGCAUUGGAUACUGGCUAGCUAGAGUGCGGUAGAGGGUAGUGGAAUUCCAGGUGUAGCAGUGAAAUGCGUAGAGAUCGGGAGGAACAUCUGUGGCGAAGGCGACUACCUGGACCAGAACUGACACUGAGGCACGAAAGCGUGGGGAGCAAACAGG